Molecule: long non-coding RNA, 969 nt
Filed under: Phoenix dactylifera (date palm)
Lineage: Eukaryota; Viridiplantae; Streptophyta; Magnoliopsida; Arecales; Arecaceae
Description: long non-coding RNA (PDAC_LNC016662)
Source: RNAcentral
GAAGGAGAGGCCUCCGCCGCCCACAGAGGGCCGCGGGGGGCCGGCGGAGGCCUCUCCUUCUCCCUCCCUCCUCCGCUCGCUCUCUCCUUCUCUUCUUCUUCUUCUCCAGCUCUGGCUAAGUUCUGUCGGUACGGGCUGUGUACCAUUUUCCACGGCUAAACCGUACCGGUUAGAGUCCGGACCGAUACGAUACUGGCUGAAUCGGCCCAUACGGUAUGGGCCGAUUCAGCAUACCAUGACUGCUGCUAUCAUCACCACCUUUACUUUACCACCAUCAAACCAACCACCAACACUAUCACCACCUCUACCACUGCUACAACUACCACCAUGUCCAUCACCAUCAAUAUGUUGAUUUUUUAAAAAUAAUAAAAAAUAAUUGACUAUAACAAACAUGUUUACAUUUUUUAAAUUAGAAAAAUAACAGAAAAUUUUAAUUUUUUUAUUUAUGAAAAUAUAAAAAGGAAAGUGAUGCCAAACAACACCUAAUAUUUACGGGUUUUAGCCAAAAUCACCAAAAUGGAAAAAAUGGAGUGAAACUGAUAAAUUUCAGCCAAAAUCAGAUGAAACUUCCAUAAAUCAAAUAGCUCUAAUAUAUUAUAGAAAGAAGGGUGACAUUAGGUUGACAGCAGUUGCAAAGUGCAGCUCAAACCAUGAAACAAAUUCAACCUAGUGUAUAUCUUGGACCCCAUUGUAUAUUUUUCUCCUUAAUUCUACUGUGUAAGAUUUUAGAAUUUAUACCUAGAGAAUGGUUCCAUGGCAUGAUCUAAGAAAUGCCUCGACAGUAGCCUUAUUAUUAUAGUAAAAUCUUAUUAAGCACGUAGAAAAACUCAAUUUUAAACCAAUAAAUACACAUUUGUAUGGGACAAAAAUCUGCAGAAUACUGUCACAGUGGCAUACCUUCUCGUCAUUGUUCUCAAUCCAUUUUUGAGAUGUCAAACUGGAAUCAUCUUUACUAUCCUUAGACCUCCU